CAGAGCACGUCACAAAUGGGACUGCCUUGUCCCCAGAACCGUAACUGCGGAGGUUCCCACCUUCUAUUUUCCCACCCUACCUCCCUGCCCCACUUCUGCGCCCUGGGUUCUGAAUUACCAGUCAGAUUCCCUCACUUCGCUGCUCGGAUCCCUUCAGCAUCCUUCCAUCUCACUAGGAAUAAAAUACAGAAUCUCGACCACACUUCGCAAGCCCUCGUCUGCUGUAUCCUUCCAGGCACACACUGGCUUCGUGGCAUCUCGGCUCUUCUCUCUUCUCCUGAAUCCUCUCCCUGUCACCUGUGGACCUGGCCGGGGCAGUUCCCUCGGGGGCCGUUUACCUGGGCUGUUUCUGCGCUCACGUACCCACAGAAAACAAAAUGGGUGUGAGUCGUAUUUAAUUAAGAAUGCAAACCCUGCAAUCUGACUGCCCAGCUUCCUACGCUGUCUUUGCCAUUUACCAGCUGUGCAACAGUGAGCUGCUUCAGUUUCCUCAGCUGCAGAGCAGGAGUAACAGUGCAGCUUCCAGAAGAGCAAAGGGAGAAUCAAAUGAGUUGAUCUGAAAACAUUCAGAACAGUGUCCCUUAUACGUGGAAGGGACACUUUCAUCUCACGUUCAGUAGGAAAGAAACAGCCACUAUUCAGACAGCAAAUAAAAAUCAUCCGAUC
Long non-coding RNA from Heterocephalus glaber (naked mole-rat), 666 nucleotides. Lineage: Eukaryota; Metazoa; Chordata; Mammalia; Rodentia; Bathyergidae. The record is from Ensembl.